Molecule: RNA transcript, 1084 nt
Organism: Erigeron canadensis
Lineage: Eukaryota; Viridiplantae; Streptophyta; Magnoliopsida; Asterales; Asteraceae
Gene name: universal stress protein PHOS32
Exons: 3
Source: RefSeq, a predicted model, not a curated record
CACACUCACAUAAAACACGCACACAAACCCCCCAAAUUUUCAACAAACAGUCAAACCCUAAUUUCUUUUCAACAAAAAAAAGAAGUAAAAAUGCAACCAUCAAAACCCACCCAAGAAUCAUCAUCAGACAUGCCAUCACUUGCAACAAUCAAAGUCAAAUCAUCAUCGCCCCGUUUCCGACCAUCUUCCUCACCGUCAUCAACCGAAACCCCAACGUCAAAUGCACAACGCCGAAUCGGCAUCGCCGUGGACCUUAGCGACGAAUCAGCCUUCGCCGUGAAAUGGGCUGUCCACCAAUACCUCCGUCCAGGUGACGCCGUUAUCUUGAUCCACGUCAGACCAACUUCCGUACUUUACGGUGCUGACUGGGGUUCAGUUGACCUCACAAUCAUCGAUACCGAAAACCCCGAAUCGAAAAACAAACUGGAAGACGAUUUUGAUAACUUUACAAACUCAAAGUCUGCAUCUUUAGCAUACCCUUUAAUUGAGGCAGGGAUUCCGUACAAGAUACAUAUAGUUAAGGAUCAUGAUAUGAAAGAAAGGUUGUGUUUGGAAGUUGAGAGGCUUGGAUUGAGUGCUGUCAUCAUGGGAAGUCGAGGUUUCGGUGCCAUGAAAAAGUCGAGUGAUGGACGUCUUGGAAGUGUCAGUGAUUAUUGUGUUAGGCAUUGUGUUUGUCCUGUUGUUGUUGUUAGGUACCCUGAUGAGAAAGAUGCUGUUGAACCCGUUGUUUCCGUUGCUAAAGGUGUCGAUGAGGAUGACGAGGAUGCUGAGUUUCAUGAUGCUUCCGAUGAACGGAAAUGAAGCAUAUUUGGAACGCGCUUUGUAUGAAUCUUCCGUUUCAAGGUAAGCGUUCAGGAUGACCAGAAUGCAUUGCCGUUUGCAGAGUCAAGUUGAAAUUAGCUAGUCAUUUUUGUGUGUGUUUGGAUUUGGACAUGAUAUAUGAGCAAUGUAUGUGUAGAACUGAUGUUAGUUUUCUGUUGAGUAAGUGUUGCGUCUGCCAGUUAUGUAAAACUGGAUUAUCUGUGACAUAAUACCCGAUUGUAAAAUAACUGUGUUUAUCUAUGUACCUGCACCUGUUCUUUAA